Molecule: long non-coding RNA, 388 nt
Filed under: Homo sapiens (human)
Lineage: Eukaryota; Metazoa; Chordata; Mammalia; Primates; Hominidae
Description: non-protein coding lnc-ARID1B-4:1
Source: RNAcentral
CCUGCUCUCCCACAAAGCGGACUGCCCACAAGGCCACCGAUGUAAAGCGCCCAGGAAGCCACUGGCUGCAAAAGCCGCUCGCAGAGUGCGCCCUCUACCGGAGGGGUGAAGGAACCUCAUCGUCCCAGGUCCGGUACUGUGGCACUCCGGGAAAUCAGACGUCAUCUGAAGUCCAGGAAUUCCUGUUUCACAAACUUCCUUCCCAGCAUCUGGUGUGAGAAAUUGCUCAGGACUUUAAAACAGAUCUGCGCUUCCAGACCGCAACUAUUGGUGCUUUGCAGGAGUCAAGCGAUGCCUUGCUGAAGACAUUAACUUGUGUGCUGUCUAUGCCAAACGUGUAACAAUUGUGCCAAAAGACAUCCGGCUAAUAUGCCCCAUAUGUGGGAGA